CAUUUUCCUUUUUUCACUAUUUGAUUUAAAUACUUUAUUUCUUAUUUUGUUGUUAACUCUUUCUUCCUGAAAUCCCUCGUCUCUCUCUUUCUCAAUCCCUAAAUUCCUCCAUGCCUCCGAUCUCUAGCCUCUCACUGCACCUCGCGCACAAUCGACUAUCGCCUUUAGCCUUUCCGAAUAAAUAACUAUUGAAUUCAGCUCAUCCUCGUCUCCUCUGGCGGGUCAAUUAAAGUUGAGCGCCACCUCUGCUUGCUGGGGACGCCGCCUCCCUCGAUCCCAUCACCCCGCUGGCCGAGGUGAAGAGCUAGCGUUCCGCCUCCGCUGUCCAGGUCGAGGAAGUUGAGCACGGGCAAUGCUGGGCAUUCUUUCAGUAAUGGUGGAGAGGUCAUGUGAGAAAGCUAGCCCUUUACCUUUUUUUUUUUUUUUUUUUUGUAUAGGUGCUUCACUUUUAGAAGUGCCAUAUAAAUAAUUAUUGUGAAUGUUUGGGUGACAGAAACUGUUUGACAAAGUAUUUUAGAAAACCAUAGUGAGGGGUGUGUUCAGUGUGUUCUUUUCCUUUUUCACCUUCUUUAAUCUGUAACUUACAUGUGAUUGCUAGUAGUUGUAGUGCAACUAUAUACAUGUGUGCAUGCUAUGUUCUUGAUAAUAAGAUAUGUAGUAGUAGCAUUUUUCUUAUCUUUGCCUUCCGUAAUGGUUGUAUUGUUGCCACUAUGUAAUGGUUUAUGGGUAGUUGGUUCAA
Molecule: long non-coding RNA, 739 nt
Organism: Humulus lupulus (European hop)
Lineage: Eukaryota; Viridiplantae; Streptophyta; Magnoliopsida; Rosales; Cannabaceae
Exons: 2
Source: RefSeq, a predicted model, not a curated record